This is a long non-coding RNA of Carassius auratus (goldfish), 535 nucleotides long. RefSeq lists it as uncharacterized. The transcript has 3 exons. NCBI's taxonomy places the organism in Eukaryota, Metazoa, Chordata, Actinopteri, Cypriniformes, Cyprinidae. The record is from RefSeq and is a predicted model, not a curated record.
CCCGGGUACAACAGCAUAAAUGGCUGCCCACUGCUCCGGAUGGCCCAGAGAAAGUCAUUAUGACACAAACUCCAACAGGUUCAUUUCUUCAGAAAGGCUCUAAUUUUAACCCUUGCAUGCUCAGCCCAGUCUGACCCUCCUGCUCAGCUCCAGUGGAUGUUUAAUGGGACAGAGAUGACUCAGAAGACCAUGCAGUCCCCAGCCAACAUUACCCUCACCAAUUUAGAAGAAAAACACAGUGGAAGCUAUAGCUGUGUGGCCUUCAAUGAUAAGACCAAUCGCUACGUUUCCUCGCAGGUCGCUGUGGUGUCUGUUCUGGGUACUUGGCCAAAGUUUCCGGUGCAGAAUUUGACAGACUUCUGCUUGGGGUGAUCUGUCAGUGUGAAGCAGGCAUGUUCAGAAGUCCCUGAGGUCCAAAUCCAAGUCAAGUAUCAAGUCUUCGUUCUAUUUUUAGCAACAGUUCUUUCACUGUAGCUAAUGAUUGUGUGUAACACUGUAUGAGGAUGAAUCAAUUUUGAAAUAUUAAAAUGGAUUA